GGCGCUAUCGUCUAGUGGUCCAGGACGCUUGGUUCUCAUCCAAGAAAUCGCGGGUUCGAGUCCCGCUAGCGCUACCA
This 77-nucleotide transfer RNA is filed under the name Patescibacteria group bacterium. RNAcentral describes it as "tRNA-Glu". It matches the Rfam family "tRNA". Rfam says of the family: Transfer RNA (tRNA) molecules are approximately 80 nucleotides in length. The record is from RNAcentral.